GAUGAACGCUGGCGGCGUGCCUAAUACAUGCAAGUCGAACGAACAGACGAGGAGCUUGCUCCUCGGACGGUAGCGGCGGGCGUGAGAGAAACACGUGUAUCCCCUACCUGUAAGACUGGGAUCACUACGGGAAACCGGAGCUAAUACCAUAUAAUAUAGUGAACCGCAUGGUUCAAUAGUGAGAGACGGUGUUGCGGUCACUUAUAGAUGGAUCCGCGCCGGAUUAGCUAGUUGGUAAGGUAACGGCUUACCAAGGCAACGAUGCGUAGCCGACCUGAGAGGGUGAUCGGCCACACUGGGACUGAGACACGGCCCAGACUCCUACGGGAGGCAGCAGUAGGGAAUCUUGCGCAAUGGGCGAAAGCCUGACGCAGCCACGCCGCGUGAGUGAUGAAGGUCUUCGGAUUGUAAACUGCUGUUGUAAGGGAAGAACAGAUGUGUAAGUAACCAUGCACGUCUUGACGGUACCGUAUCAGAAAGCACCGGCUAACUACGUG
RNAcentral lists this ribosomal RNA (497 nucleotides) under uncultured bacterium. RNAcentral's name for it is "partial 16S ribosomal RNA". It matches the Rfam family "Bacterial small subunit ribosomal RNA", at positions 28 to 507 of the family's 1533-position model. The record is from RNAcentral.